GGUAUUUUUGAGAGCUACAAGACCUAGGGCAUAUAAAUACUCCCCAAGAACUUAUUCUCUGCACCUUUUAUCACCUUUUAUCAUAUUUUACUUUUCCUGAGAGCUGUGAGAGACGGAGAACGGAGCCAGAGCAAGAACUAAAGAUUCUCGAUUCUACUACGGUUUUAUUGUUGAAUGUUUUACAGUUUUAUUGAGAAUUAUGUUCUAGUUCAUAUGUCUAUGUGUGGCUAGAAUCCCUUUUUCC
RNAcentral lists this long non-coding RNA (244 nucleotides) under Salvia miltiorrhiza (redroot sage). RNAcentral describes it as "long non-coding RNA (SMIL_LNC002381)". The record is from RNAcentral. Lineage: Eukaryota; Viridiplantae; Streptophyta; Magnoliopsida; Lamiales; Lamiaceae.